GCGACGGGUGAGUACACGUGGGCAAUCUGCCCUUCACUCUGGGACAAGCCCUGGAAACGGGGUCUAAUACCGGAUAAUACUUCCACUCUCCUGAGUGGUGGUUGAAAGCUCCGGCGGUGAAGGAUGAGCCCGCGGCCUAUCAGCUUGUUGGUGAGGUAAUGGCUCACCAAGGCGACGACGGGUAGCCGGCCUGAGAGGGCGACCGGCCACACUGGGACUGAGACACGGCCCAGACUCCUACGGGAGGCAGCAGUGGGGAAUAUUGCACAAUGGGCGAAAGCCUGAUGCAGCGACGCCGCGUGAGGGAUGACGGCCUUCGGGUUGUAAACCUCUUUCAGCAGGGAAGAAGCGAAAGUGACGGUACCUGCAGAAGAAGCGCCGGCUAACUACGUGCCAGCACCGGGGGUAAAUACG
Molecule: ribosomal RNA, 414 nt
Filed under: Streptomyces sp. MBT75
Lineage: Bacteria; Bacillati; Actinomycetota; Actinomycetes; Kitasatosporales; Streptomycetaceae
Description: bacterial SSU rRNA
Rfam family: Bacterial small subunit ribosomal RNA
Source: RNAcentral